Molecule: long non-coding RNA, 930 nt
Organism: Prosopis cineraria
Lineage: Eukaryota; Viridiplantae; Streptophyta; Magnoliopsida; Fabales; Fabaceae
Exons: 2
Source: RefSeq, a predicted model, not a curated record
AUGCUUUUGAGAGAUUCAACCCCAAGUCAUUGCUCUUCAUGUUGACCAAUGUUUCUUUAUCAACUUUAUAAUCAAUCACUAUAAAUAAUGCGUGACUUAGCUGUUGCAUCCCUUCUUUUUUAAUAGAGAUAUGGUGGGAAGAGGCAUGUUUGGAAGGUGACUCUUACUGCUUAUUUCUAAUAGGAAAUCAACAACUAGCCGCUAUGUGUAACAUUUGGGAAAAUUUAAUCUUGAUUUAUUAACCUAAUGAGGGUGAUAAGUGAAUUAAUAAGGUGUGCGGCCAGAGGGGUUCAAUUGGUGCAAUUAUUGUGGCAAUUUUAGCCCUAGAAGUGGAUACGGAUCUAUGGUGGGCCACUCGGAUGAGGAAAGAGGAAGAAAAAGUGAAGAUUUAUUUUUGGUGCCACAAGUCACGAUGCGUGGUCAGUCUGCCGCGGUGCAGAGGCAGAUUUGAAUGCAAUGGCCUCCUUUGUGGCACGCGCUAUGGCAGACGGCAAUGUGCUCCGCAACGCACGGCCAAAAAUAUGAUAUAUCAGAUUCAUAUUAGCGCGAGAAAAACAGAAAGAGGAAGAGAAAAAUAAAGGAGCUCGACUUUGGCUCUACUAGGGCUUAUUAUUGGAGCAUAUUGGUGAUAGAUUGAAACUUUCAAAUACCCAAGGACCUUGCUCAUCGAAUCCGAGUCAGGAAAAACAUACAGAGGCCUAAGAUUGUGAAGUAAUCCUCUAUAUGCCUCUUUUUAGUUGUUCCAUGUGUAUUUGGUAAUAUAAUUGCCAAUUAGGAUCACAUACUAAUGUUUUUAUAGUACUUGCAUUAUUUUGUGCAAAUGGUGUAUUUUGUGCUAUGGGUUAGUGAGUUUUAGUUAUAAACCCGUGGAUAGGGCCAAAAUACUUGUGCAAGUAAAAAUAUAUGUAUUUUGAAAGAUUUAGAAUGAAA